This 526-nucleotide ribosomal RNA is filed under the name uncultured Clostridium sp. Its description in RNAcentral is "bacterial SSU rRNA". It matches the Rfam family "Bacterial small subunit ribosomal RNA", at positions 8 to 551 of the family's 1533-position model. Lineage: Bacteria; Bacillati; Bacillota; Clostridia; Eubacteriales; Clostridiaceae. The record is from RNAcentral.
AGAGUUUGAUCCUGGCUCAGGACGAACGCUGGCGGCGUGCUUAACACAUGCAAGUCGAGCGAUGAAGCUCCUUCGGGAGUGGAUUAGCGGCGGACGGGUGAGUAACACGUGGGUAACCUGCCUCAUAGAGGGGAAUAGCCUUUCGAAAGGAAGAUUAAUACCGCAUAAGAUUGUAGUACCGCAUGGUAUAGCAAUUAAAGGAGUAAUCCGCUAUGAGAUGGACCCGCGUCGCAUUAGCUAGUUGGUGAGGUAACUGCUCACCAAGGCGACGAUGCGUAGCCGACCUGAGAGGGUGAUCGGCCACAUUGGGACUGAGACACGGCCCAGACUCCUACGGGAGGCAGCAGUGGGGAAUAUUGCACAAUGGGGGAAACCCUGAUGCAGCAACGCCGCGUGAGCGAUGACGGUCUUCGGAUUGUAAAGCUCUGUCUUUAGGGACGAUAAUGACGGUACCUAAGGAGGAAGCCACGGCUAACUACGUGCCAGCAGCCGCGGUAAUACGUAGGUGGCAAGCGUUGUCCGGAUU